This 72-nucleotide transfer RNA is filed under the name Chitinophaga niabensis. It matches the Rfam family "tRNA". Rfam says of the family: Transfer RNA (tRNA) molecules are approximately 80 nucleotides in length. Their secondary structure includes four short double-helical elements and three loops (D, anti-codon, and T loops). The record is from Rfam by way of RNAcentral. Lineage: Bacteria; Pseudomonadati; Bacteroidota; Chitinophagia; Chitinophagales; Chitinophagaceae.
GGAUAAAUAGCUCAACGGUAGAGCACCGGUUUGUUAAGCCGCUGGUUGAAAGUUCGAAUCUUUCUUUAUCCU